GACGUGAAACUGUUCAGAGGUAAACGGGUGGGCCCUCGAAGUCCAGUGGCGAGAGGAUUCAGUUCGAAGGGUCGCACGCUUGCGCCGGUUCAAACCGGGGGUUCCCUCGUCCUGAGGACCCGCUAGCGCUCGCGGUAUGCGGCUCGACCGACGCAUUUCCUCUCGUCCGCAAGGACGCCGCAGCCGGUCGGGUACAUCCCAAGUACGGCCUGGAGACGUCGACCAACGCAGGUGGCCGGUGAAGGCGGUUCGUCCGCGUCGCCGGUUUUAGCAGGUCCGUCGAUGGCACGUCACCCGAUCGAGGCCAAGUCGGCUCCCUUUCGGGGGGGCACGAUCGCCUCCUCCCCUAGAUGAGAGCGGAAGCGGCCGGCAGACGUAUAGGGGCUCGAUGCCUGCGCCACAUACUCCGUUGUGGCCGGCUCGCUCACGUCGUGGUUGGUCGGCCUGGCGUCCGCGGGAGGUACGGUGGCUCGCGGUGAGUAGAUCGGUCACCCACCCGACCCGUCUUGAAACACGGACCAAGGAGUCUAACAUGUGCGCGAGUCAAUGGGACUUGCAUAGGCCCAUGGGCGUAACGAAAGUGAAGCUCCCGGCGUCCUGCCGGGAGAAAAAGUUGGGAUUCCCCGUCCWUCGCGGCGGGGACGCACCAACGACCCGUCCUAUCCGCUUCAUCGGUUGGACGGAGUCUGAGCGUACACGUUGGGACCCGAAAGAUGGUGAACUAUGCCUGGGCAGGACGAAGCCAGAGGAAACUCUGGUGGAGGUCCGUAGCGGUUCUGACGUGCAAAUCGAUCGUCAGACCCGGGUAUAGGGGCGAAAGACCAAUCGAACUAUC
RNAcentral lists this ribosomal RNA (835 nucleotides) under Araneae sp. NZAC03011724. RNAcentral describes it as "eukaryotic LSU rRNA". It matches the Rfam family "Eukaryotic large subunit ribosomal RNA", at positions 396 to 944 of the family's 3401-position model. Lineage: Eukaryota; Metazoa; Arthropoda; Arachnida; Araneae. The record is from RNAcentral.